Molecule: ribosomal RNA, 459 nt
Filed under: uncultured bacterium
Lineage: Bacteria
Description: partial 16S ribosomal RNA
Rfam family: Bacterial small subunit ribosomal RNA
Source: RNAcentral
CCUACGAGAGGCAGCAGUGAGGAAUAUUGGUCAAUGGGCGGGAGCCUGAACCAGCCAAGUCGCGUGAGGGAAGACGGUCCUAUGGAUUGUAAACCUCUUUAGGCGGGGAGCAAUGCCGGGCACGCGUGCCCGGAGGGAGAGUACCCGCAGAAUAAGCAUCGGCAUACUCCGUGCCAGCCGCCGCGGUAAUACGGAGGAUGCGAGCGUUAUCCGGAUUUAUUGGGUUUAAAGGGUGCGGAGGGGGAUUUUUAAGUCAGGGGUAAAAUGUCGGGGCUCAACCCGGGCCGGCCGUUGAACCUGGUGAUCGUGAGUGGGCGAGAAGUAUGCGGAAUGCGUGGUGUAGCGGUGAAAUGCAUAGAUAUCACGCAGAACUCCGAUUGCGAAGGCAGCAUACCGGCGCCCGACUGACGCUGAGGCACGAAAGCGUGGGGAUCGAACAGGAUAGAUACCCUUGUAGUC